RNAcentral lists this ribosomal RNA (230 nucleotides) under Halomonas shengliensis. Its description in RNAcentral is "partial 16S ribosomal RNA". It matches the Rfam family "Bacterial small subunit ribosomal RNA", at positions 68 to 300 of the family's 1533-position model. Lineage: Bacteria; Pseudomonadati; Pseudomonadota; Gammaproteobacteria; Oceanospirillales; Halomonadaceae. The record is from RNAcentral.
GGAAACGAUCCUAGCUUGCUAGGAGGCGUCAGCGGCGGACGUUGUGAGUAACGCAUAGGAAUCUGCCCGGUAGUGGGGGAUAACCUGGGGAAACCCAGGCUAAUACCGCAUACGUCCUACGGGAGAAGCAGGGGAUCUUCGGACCUUGCGCUAUCGGAUGAGCCUAUUCGGAUUACUGGUUGGUGAGGUAAUGGCUCACCAAGGCGACAUCCGUAGCUGGUCUGAGAGGA